GGUUAAGCGACUAAGCGUACACGGUGGAUGCCCUGGCAGUCAGAGGCGAUGAAGGACGUGCUAAUCUGCGAUAAGCGUCGGUAAGGUGAUAUGAACCGUUAUAACCGGCGAUUUCCGAAUGGGGAAACCCAGUGUGUUUCGACACACUAUCAUUAACUGAAUCCAUAGGUUAAUGAGGCGAACCGGGGGAACUGAAACAUCUAAGUACCCCGAGGAAAAGAAAUCAACCGAGAUUCCCCCAGUAGCGGCGAGCGAACGGGGAGGAGCCCAGAGCCUGAAUCAGUGUGUGUGUUAGUGGAAGCGUCUGGAAAGGCGCGCGAUACAGGGUGACAGCCCCGUACACAAAAAUACACAUAUUGUGAGCUCGAUGAGUAGGGCGGGACACGUGGUAUCCUGUCUGAAUAUGGGGGGACCAUCCUCCAAGGCUAAAUACUCCUGACUGACCGAUAGUGAACCAGUACCGUGAGGGAAAGGCGAAAAGAACCCCGGCGAGGGGAGUGAAAAAGAACCUGAAACCGUGUACGUACAAGCAGUGGGAGCACGCUUAGGCGUGUGACUGCGUACCUUUUGUAUAAUGGGUCAGCGACUUAUAUUCUGUAGCAAGGUUAACCGAAUAGGGGAGCCGAAGGGAAACCGAGUCUUAACUGGGCGUUAAGUUGCAGGGUAUAGACCCGAAACCCGGUGAUCUAGCCAUGGGCAGGUUGAAGGUUGGGUAACACUAACUGGAGGACCGAACCGACUAAUGUUGAAAAAUUAGCGGAUGACUUGUGGCUGGGGGUGAAAGGCCAAUCAAACCGGGAGAUAGCUGGUUCUCCCCGAAAGCUAUUUAGGUAGCGCCUCGUGAAUUCAUCUCCGGGGGUAGAGCACUGUUUCGGCAAGGGGGUCAUCCCGACUUACCAACCCGAUGCAAACUGCGAAUACCGGAGAAUGUUAUCACGGGAGACACACGGCGGGUGCUAACGUCCGUCGUGAAGAGGGAAACAACCCAGACCGCCAGCUAAGGUCCCAAAGUCAUGGUUAAGUGGGAAACGAUGUGGGAAGGCCCAGACAGCCAGGAUGUUGGCUUAGAAGCAGCCAUCAUUUAAAGAAAGCGUAAUAGCUCACUGGUCGAGUCGGCCUGCGCGGAAGAUGUAACGGGGCUAAACCAU
Molecule: ribosomal RNA, 1148 nt
Filed under: Escherichia coli
Lineage: Bacteria; Pseudomonadati; Pseudomonadota; Gammaproteobacteria; Enterobacterales; Enterobacteriaceae
Also listed under: 1 other name
Description: partial 23S ribosomal RNA
Rfam family: Bacterial large subunit ribosomal RNA
Source: RNAcentral